GGUGUCUUCGGACGCCGGCAUACGGCUCAGUAACACGUAGGUAACCUACCCUCAGGACUGAGAUAACCCCGGGAAACUGGGGCUAAUAUUAGAUAGAUAAAAGAUACUGGAAUGUUCUUUUAUCCAAAGCUUUUGCGCCUGAGGAUGGGCCUGCGUCCGAUUAGGUCGUUGGUGGGGUAAUGGCCCACCAAGCCUGCGAUCGGUACGGGCAGUGGAAGCUGAAGCCCGGAGUUGGGGACUGAGACAAGGCCCCAGGCCCUACGGGGCGCAGCAGGCGCGAAACCUCUGCAAUGCGGGAAACCGUGACAGGGGGAUCCCAAGUGCUCAUGCAUUGCAUGGGCUGUUCUUUGGUCUAAGUAACCAGAGGGGUAAGGGCUGGGCAAGACCGGUGCCAGCCGCCGCGGUAAUACCGGCAGCUCAAGUGGUAGCCGCGAUUAUUGGGCCUAAAACGUUCGUAGCCGGAUAAGUAAGUCUUUGGUUAAAUCCUGCGACUCAACCGUGGGAAUUCUAGAGAUACUGCUCGUCUUGAGACCGGGAGAGGUUGGAGGUACUCCUAGGGUAGGGGUGAAAUCCUGUAAUCCUAGGGGGACCACCUGUGGCGAA
RNAcentral lists this ribosomal RNA (603 nucleotides) under uncultured archaeon. Its description in RNAcentral is "bacterial SSU rRNA". It matches the Rfam family "Archaeal small subunit ribosomal RNA", at positions 62 to 670 of the family's 1478-position model. The record is from RNAcentral.